CUGCAUGUUAAAAAAAAAAAUAAUUCUGCUCCUCAUUCCCGGAGGAGCACGAAUCACUACACAACAUGCUAGAGAAAACAAGGAGUUUUCAGGGCUGCCAGUCUUGCAGUGAAGGCUGAGUGGUAGUAUAGGUCUCCAACAUCC
This 144-nucleotide small nucleolar RNA is filed under the name Chaetura pelagica (chimney swift). RNAcentral describes it as "Small nucleolar RNA U109". It matches the Rfam family "Small nucleolar RNA U109". The record is from Rfam by way of RNAcentral. Lineage: Eukaryota; Metazoa; Chordata; Aves; Apodiformes; Apodidae.